Molecule: transfer RNA, 75 nt
Filed under: Myxococcota bacterium
Lineage: Bacteria; Pseudomonadati; Myxococcota
Description: tRNA-Glu
Rfam family: tRNA
About the family: Transfer RNA (tRNA) molecules are approximately 80 nucleotides in length. Their secondary structure includes four short double-helical elements and three loops (D, anti-codon, and T loops). Further hydrogen bonds mediate the characteristic L-shaped molecular structure. tRNAs have two regions of fundamental functional importance: the anti-codon, which is responsible for specific mRNA codon recognition, and the 3' end, to which the tRNAs corresponding amino acid is attached (by aminoacyl-tRNA synthetases). tRNAs cope with the degeneracy of the genetic code in two manners: having more than one tRNA (with a specific anti-codon) for a particular amino acid; and 'wobble' base-pairing, i.e. permitting non-standard base-pairing at the 3rd anti-codon position.
Source: RNAcentral
GGCCCUUUAGUCUAUCGGUCAGGACACAAGACUCUCAAUCUUGGGAGACGGGUUCGAUUCCCGUAAGGGCCACCA